RNAcentral lists this transfer RNA (73 nucleotides) under Equus caballus (horse). Its description in RNAcentral is "tRNA-Tyr (ATA) (tRNA-Tyr-ATA-1-1)". It matches the Rfam family "tRNA". From Rfam's summary of the family: Transfer RNA (tRNA) molecules are approximately 80 nucleotides in length. The record is from RNAcentral. Lineage: Eukaryota; Metazoa; Chordata; Mammalia; Perissodactyla; Equidae.
CCUUCGAUAGCUCAGCUGGUAGAGCGAAGGACUAUAUAUCCUUAGGUCGCUGGUUCGAUUCCGGCUCGAAGGA